Molecule: ribosomal RNA, 537 nt
Filed under: uncultured bacterium
Lineage: Bacteria
Description: bacterial SSU rRNA
Rfam family: Bacterial small subunit ribosomal RNA
Source: RNAcentral
GAUUUGCGCAUGGGGGAACCCUGNCGCACAACGCCGCGUGGAGGAUGAAGUCUCUUGGGACGUAAACUCCUUUCGAUCGGGAAGAUUAUGACGGUACCGAUAGAAGAAGCCCCGGCUAACUUCGUGCCAGCAGCCGCGGUAAUACGAGGGGGGCAAGCGUUGUUCGGAAUUAUUGGGCGUAAAGGGUGCGUAGGCGGUUUGGUAAGUCUUGUGUGAAAUCUUCGGGCUCAACUCGAAGUCUGCACGAGAAACUGCCGGGCUUGAGUGUGGGAGAGGUGAGUGGAAUUUCCGGUGUAGCGGUGAAAUGCGUAGAUAUCGGAAGGAACACCUGUGGCGAAAGCGGCUCACUGGACCAUAACUGACGCUGAGGCACGAAAGCUAGGGGAGCAAACAGGAUUAGAUACCCUGGUAGUCCUAGCCCUAAACCAUGGAUGCUUGGUGUAGCCGGUACCCAAUCCGGCUGUGCCGAAGCUAACGCGAUAAGCAUCCCGCCUGGGGAGUACGGUCGCAAGGCUGAAACUCAAAAAAAUUGACGGA